GACGAACGCUGGCGGCGUGCUUAACACAUGCAAGUCGAACGGAAAGGCCCUGCUUUUGUGGGGUGCUCGAGUGGCGAACGGGUGAGUAACACGUGAGUAACCUGCCCUUGACUUUGGGAUAACUUCAGGAAACUGGGGCUAAUACCGGAUAGGAGCUCCUGCUGCAUGGUGGGGGUUGGAAAGUUUCGGCGGUUGGGGAUGGACUCGCGGCUUAUCAGCUUGUUGGUGGGGUAGUGGCUUACCAAGGCUUUGACGGGUAGCCGGCCUGAGAGGGUGACCGGCCACAUUGGGACUGAGAUACGGCCCAGACUCCUACGGGAGGCAGCAGUGGGGAAUAUUGCACAAUGGGCGGAAGCCUGAUGCAGCAACGCCGCGUGCGGGAUGACGGCCUUCGGGUUGUAAACCGCUUUCGCCUGUGACGAAGCGUGAGUGACGGUAAUGGGUAAAGGAACACCGGCUAACUACGUG
RNAcentral lists this ribosomal RNA (468 nucleotides) under uncultured bacterium. RNAcentral describes it as "partial 16S ribosomal RNA". It matches the Rfam family "Bacterial small subunit ribosomal RNA", at positions 28 to 507 of the family's 1533-position model. The record is from RNAcentral.